Molecule: ribosomal RNA, 284 nt
Filed under: uncultured bacterium
Lineage: Bacteria
Description: partial 16S ribosomal RNA
Rfam family: Bacterial small subunit ribosomal RNA
Source: RNAcentral
GUGCCUACGGGACGCAGCAGUGAGGAAUAUUGGUCAAUGGGCGCAAGCCUGAACCAGCCAAGUCGCGUGAGGGAUGACGGUCCUAUGGAUUGUAAACCUCUUUUGUCGGGGAGCAAGGCCCGCCACGUGUGGCGGGAAGGAGAGUACCCGAAGAAAAAGCAUCGGCUAACUCCGUGCCAGCAGCCGCGGGAAUACGGAGGAUGCGAGCGUUAUCCGGAUUUAUUGGGUUUAAAGGGUGCGUAGGCGGGGGGUUAAGUCAGGGGUCAAAUGUCGGUGCUCAAACC